Molecule: transfer RNA, 74 nt
Filed under: Candidatus Aenigmatarchaeota archaeon
Lineage: Archaea; Nanobdellati; Candidatus Aenigmatarchaeota
Description: tRNA-Thr
Rfam family: tRNA
About the family: Transfer RNA (tRNA) molecules are approximately 80 nucleotides in length. Their secondary structure includes four short double-helical elements and three loops (D, anti-codon, and T loops).
Source: RNAcentral
GCCCCAAUAGCUCAGUUGGCUAGAGCGACUGUCUCGUAAACAGUAGGUCGGCGGUUCAAAUCCGCCUUGGGGCU